GAUGAACGCUAGCUACAGGCUUAACACAUGCAAGUCGAGGGGAAACGACAUCGAAAGCUUGCUUUGAUGGGCGUCGACCGGCGCACGGGUGAGUAACGCGUAUCCAACCUGCCCACACUUGGGGAUAACCUUGCGAAAGUAAGACUAAUACCCAAUGACGUCUCUAGAAGACAUCUGAAAGAGAUUAAAGAUUUAUCGGUGAUGGAUGGGGAUGCGUCUGAUUAGCUUGUUGGCGGGGUAACGGCCCACCAAGGCGACGAUCAGUAGGGGUUCUGAGAGGAAGGUCCCCCACAUUGGAACUGAGACACGGUCCAAACUCCUACGGGAGGCAGCAGUGAGGAAUAUUGGUCAAUGGGCGAGAGCCUGAACCAGCCAAGUAGCGUGCAGGAUGACGGCCCUAUGGGUUGUAAACUGCUUUUAUAAGGGAAUAAAGUUAGUCUCGUGAGACUUUUUGCAUGUACCUUAUGAAUAAGGACCGGCUAAUUCCGUG
RNAcentral lists this ribosomal RNA (490 nucleotides) under uncultured bacterium. RNAcentral's name for it is "bacterial SSU rRNA". It matches the Rfam family "Bacterial small subunit ribosomal RNA", at positions 28 to 507 of the family's 1533-position model. The record is from RNAcentral.